AUACGUAGGGGGCAAGCGUUGCCCGGAAUGAUUGGGCGUAAAGGGCGCGUAGGCGGCCAUGUAAGUCCGACGUGAAAGUCCUGUUUUUAAGGUGGGAAUUGCGUUGGAAACUGUAUGGCUUGAGUGCAGGAGAGGUAAGUGGAAUUCCCGGUGUAGCGGUGAAAUGCGUAGAGAUCGGGAGGAACACCAGUGGCGAAGGCGACUUACUGGACUGUAACUGACGCUGAGGCGCGAAAGUGUGGGGAGCAAACAGGAUUAGAUACCCUGGUAGUCCACACUGUAAACGAUGAAUGCUAGGUGUAGGGUGUAUCGACCCCUUCUGUGCCGGAGUCAACACAAUAAGCAUUCCGCCUGGGGAGUACGGCCGCAAGGUUGAA
This 377-nucleotide ribosomal RNA is filed under the name uncultured bacterium. RNAcentral describes it as "bacterial SSU rRNA". It matches the Rfam family "Bacterial small subunit ribosomal RNA", at positions 523 to 898 of the family's 1533-position model. The record is from RNAcentral.